This 552-nucleotide ribosomal RNA is filed under the name Cryptosporidium parvum. RNAcentral's name for it is "SSU rRNA". It matches the Rfam family "Eukaryotic small subunit ribosomal RNA", at positions 327 to 910 of the family's 1831-position model. The record is from RNAcentral. Lineage: Eukaryota; Apicomplexa; Conoidasida; Eucoccidiorida; Cryptosporidiidae.
GGUAGGGUAUUGGCCUACCGUGGCAAUGACGGGUAACGGGGAAUUAGGGUUCGAUUCCGGAGAGGGAGCCUGAGAAACGGCUACCACAUCUAAGGAAGGCAGCAGGCGCGCAAAUUACCCAAUCCUAAUACAGGGAGGUAGUGACAAGAAAUAACAAUACAGGACUUUUUGGUUUUGUAAUUGGAAUGAGUUAAGUAUAAACCCCUUUACAAGUAUCAAUUGGAGGGCAAGUCUGGUGCCAGCAGCCGCGGUAAUUCCAGCUCCAAUAGCGUAUAUUAAAGUUGUUGCAGUUAAAAAGCUCGUAGUUGGAUUUCUGUUAAUAAUUUAUAUAAAAUAUUUUGAAUAUUUAUAUAACAUUAACAUAAUUCAUAUUACUAUAUUUUUUAGUAUAUGAAAUUUUACUUUGAGAAAAUUAGAGUGCUUAAAGCAGGCAUAUGCCUUGAAUACUCCAGCAUGGAAUAAUAUUAAAGAUUUUUAUCUUUCUUAUUGGUUCUAAGAUAAGAAUAAUGAUUAAUAGGGACAGUUGGGGGCAUUUGUAUUUAACAGUCAGAG